This 1396-nucleotide small RNA is filed under the name Arabidopsis thaliana (thale cress). RNAcentral's name for it is "ATSL292090". The record is from RNAcentral. Lineage: Eukaryota; Viridiplantae; Streptophyta; Magnoliopsida; Brassicales; Brassicaceae.
AAGUGCAGUGCAACAAAGUCCAUUGACAUUGUUUUGUUAACCUGAUCCAUAUAGAAUUAAAGAGUGAUAACAAAAGAAAAAAGAAGAAGAAGAAGAAAGAGUGAUAAUUUUUUUUUUUUUUUUUUUUUUUUGAAAGAGUGAUAACAUAUAUGGGUGAACUAGGUGUAUAGCCAUAAUUGAACAAAAAUUAAGAAUAUAGCCAUAUAAUUUACGUAAUUCAGCAAGUAACCAAAAACUCUAACUAAUUACAAGUCUAUCCCUGCAUUAUUUCCCUAUUUUCCAAUUUGCCAUGACUCAUCAUCUUCUUCGUUUUGUUGAUCAGAUAUUGAUCUAAAGGUAAUAUUCCAUAUGUUCUAAAGGUAAUGGAUUGUGAAUCAGAUAUUGAUCUAAAGGUAAUGUUUUUUUAACAGACCUUUUUCAUUCAUCAUCUUCUUUGUUGCUUCUUCUCUUCUCUCCAAUCCAACAAAAAAUUUCCAGAAAAUUUAACUUUUUUAUAUCAAUCCAUUCUAAUUUAAAAACAUCUAUUGAUUUAAGAAAACUAAACCCUAAGAUACUAUAUAUGGAACCCAAACAAAAAUAAUUAAACUAAAUGAAAUCAUCUCAAGAAUCAGUUUUUAGAAAUCUGACAAAAUCAUGUUUAUAUACUUUUAAUCUCUUUUCUCCUUUCCUAAAGCGAAUUGAAAUCGAUUCGAUUUUGGGUUUAAAUUUGUGUUAGGGAUUUUCAAUUUUAGAUAUUGAUCAAACCAGAAAAUAUUCAAUAAGAUCUUGUGAGUCUUCGUUUUCAUUUUUUUCCGUUCUAACUAGCAAAUAGAAUGGUACAAAAUUGAAAGUAAAAUAGAAAACUAUAGUUCGGUUCUGUUUUAAUUAAGUUAAAGUAGAAAAAAAAGAUAAGAGGCGAGAGAAGUGAAACAAGCAAUGGAAGAGAGGAAGAAGUGAUUAAGGUGGUGGUGGUGUGUAUGGUGUAGGUCGUAGUAAUAUUUGUGUUGGUGGUUGCAGUGGUCGUGUGUCAAUUGCGGCGGCAAUAAUGGUGAUGGUGGUUGAGAUGACAGCGUAAUGGUAGUUUCUAUGGUGGUGACGAUUGCAGUGGUGAUGGUGAUGAUGGUAUGACAUUUGUGGAAAUAAUGGUGGAUGCGAUGAUGAUGACGGUUGCAAGGGUAAUGGUUGUAAUAGCAUAAAAAAGAUGGUGAUUGUGUAGAUAAGAGUACUUUAGUAUAUAUUAUAGUUUAUAUACAAAAUAUCAUCUCUGUUUUUGUUGUUGGUUAGUUUCUUAAUUAUAGUUUUUUUGUUAGUCAAUUUUGCAAAUUUCCCGACAUAUAAUCGUGUUUCAUUCAAUCCAUUUUGUUCAACGACGAAACAAUCCCGUUACCUAGAAAAAUGUGGUCCUUUUACCUGGUGA